Molecule: ribosomal RNA, 477 nt
Filed under: uncultured bacterium
Lineage: Bacteria
Description: partial 16S ribosomal RNA
Rfam family: Bacterial small subunit ribosomal RNA
Source: RNAcentral
AUUGAACGCUGGCGGCAUGCCUUACACAUGCAAGUCGAACGGUAACAGGUUAAGCUGACGAGUGGCGAACGGGUGAGUAAUGUAUCGGAACGUGCCCAGUCGUGGGGGAUAACUGCUCGAAAGAGCAGCUAAUACCGCAUACGACCUGAGGGUGAAAGCGGGGGCUCGCAAGACCUCGCGCGAUUGGAGCGGCCGAUAUCAGAUUAGGUAGUUGGUGAGGUAAAGGCUCACCAAGCCGACGAUCUGUAGCUGGUCUGAGAGGACGACCAGCCACACUGGGACUGAGACACGGCCCAGACUCCUACGGGAGGCAGCAGUGGGGAAUUUUGGACAAUGGGCGCAAGCCUGAUCCAGCCAUGCCGCGUGCGGGAAGAAGGCCUUCGGGUUGUAAACCGCUUUUGUCAGGGAAGAAAAGGUUCUGGCUAAUACCUGGGACUCAUGACGGUACCUGAAGAAUAAGCACCGGCUAACUACGUG